Molecule: non-coding RNA, 45 nt
Organism: Schistosoma haematobium
Lineage: Eukaryota; Metazoa; Platyhelminthes; Trematoda; Strigeidida; Schistosomatidae
Source: Rfam
AUCCAACUGAUGAGUCCUAAAUAGAACGAAACACGAGUACUGGAU